CCUACGGGGGGCAGCAGUAGGGAAUAUUGGUCAAUGGGGGAAAGCCUGAAGCAGCCAAGCCGCGUGGAGGAUGAAGGUUCUCGGAAUGUUAAACCUCUUUGUUAGAGAAGAAAAUGACGGUACGUAUCGAAUAAUCAACGGAUAACACGGAGCAAGCAGCGGCGGCAACAUGGAGGUAGCCAACGUUACUCGGAAUCACCGGGCGUAAAGGGAGCGUAGGCGGGUUAGUAAGUCAGAUGUGAAAUCCUAUGGCUUAACCAUAGAACUGCAUUUGAAACUGUUAGUCUAGAGUAUGGGAGAGGUAGGUGGAAUUCGUGGUGUAGCGGUGAAAUGCGUAGAGAUCAAGAGGAAUACUGAUUGCGAAGGCAGCCUGCUAGAACAUAACUGACGCUGAUGCGCGAAAGCGUGGGUAGCAAACAGGAUUAGAUACCCGUGUAGUC
Molecule: ribosomal RNA, 440 nt
Filed under: uncultured bacterium
Lineage: Bacteria
Description: partial 16S ribosomal RNA
Rfam family: Bacterial small subunit ribosomal RNA
Source: RNAcentral